UACGUAGGUGGCAAGCGUUGUCCGGAAUUAUUGGGCGUAAAGCGCGCGCAGGCGGUUUCUUAAGUCUGAUGUGAAAGCCCCCGGCUCAACCGGGGAGGGUCAUUGGAAACUGGGGAACUUGAGUGCAGAAGAGGAGAGUGGAAUUCCACGUGUAGCGGUGAAAUGCGUAGAGAUGUGGAGGAACACCAGUGGCGAAGGCGACUCUCUGGUCUGUAACUGACGCUGAGGCGCGAAAGCGUGGGGAGCAAACAGG
RNAcentral lists this ribosomal RNA (253 nucleotides) under uncultured bacterium. RNAcentral's name for it is "partial 16S ribosomal RNA". It matches the Rfam family "Bacterial small subunit ribosomal RNA", at positions 524 to 776 of the family's 1533-position model. The record is from RNAcentral.